Molecule: ribosomal RNA, 370 nt
Filed under: uncultured bacterium
Lineage: Bacteria
Description: bacterial SSU rRNA
Rfam family: Bacterial small subunit ribosomal RNA
Source: RNAcentral
GUAGGGAGCGAGCGUUGUUCGGAAUUACUGGGUGUAAAGGGAGCGUAGGCGGGAUGGUAAGUCAGAUGUGAAAACUAUGGGCUCAACCCAUAGACUGCAUUUGAAACUGCUGUUCUUGAGUGAAGUAGAGGUAAGCGGAAUUCCUAGUGUAGCGGUGAAAUGCGUAGAUAUUAGGAGGAACAUCGGUGGCGAAGGCGGCUUACUGGGCUUUUACUGACGCUGAGGCUCGAAAGCGUGGGGAGCAAACAGGAUUAGAUACCCUGGUAGUCCACGCUGUAAACGAUGAUUACUAGGUGUGGGGGGACUGACCCCUUCCGUGCCGCAGCUAACACAAUAAGUAAUCCACCUGGGGAGUACGGCCGCAAGGCUG